Oncorhynchus kisutch (coho salmon) is the source of this 2762-nucleotide long non-coding RNA. RefSeq lists it as uncharacterized. The record is from RefSeq and is a predicted model, not a curated record. Lineage: Eukaryota; Metazoa; Chordata; Actinopteri; Salmoniformes; Salmonidae. The transcript has 3 exons.
UCUCUUUCCGGAUGUUGUUGAUGUACAGUGUCGAUGCUGUCCUCUGACGUGUGUUUUUGGUGGUGUUGUUUUGUUCCCCUCCGCACCCUUCCUCCCCCCUCCUUCCUCUGCGCAGGUCCCAGUGGCACCAAUAUCAUAAUAGGGUCCAUCGCAGGUGCUAUUCUUCUGGCAGCUAUAGUCCUAGGGGGGACAGGAUGGGGAUUUAAGAAUAUCCGAAGAGGAAGAUCUGGUGGAGGAUAAGAUGUCCUGUCCGUCUGUCUGUCUUUGUCUGUCUGCUCCUGUCUUUCUCUCACUCUGUGAUGUUUCCAAGUCGGAGAAGAGGGAAAAAGAACAAGUCUUCCACUCCUGUCCCGAACCUCUCCAGACCUCUUCUGUUAACAUCUCCUCUCCUGUCCACUUCCUGUCUGUCCACCAGUCCAUCUCCGGCCCCUCCGGGCCAGUGUAGCACCUCCCACAUUGCAUACCAGCCAAUUAUAUUAUCCAAUCAGGAUAAAGUCUUUGCCAUGGGCAGAAUGAGAAGGUUGUUGUUGGUCCCUAGAGGGGCGUCAGGGUCUUCCUCCUUUCCAGCGACUAAGUAUUAUGCACUUCGGUGUCUGCGUACUGUAGUUCCCUUUCCUUCCGCUUAUGACAGUCCCAUGAAGAACAUGUCAACAGUGGACAAAUUCAGUAUGAGACAUGUCUUUCCAAUGCUUGUCUGGAAACACACUUCUGGCCGCUGUUUGAGAAUGCUGGACUGGCCCAGACCUGCCAUCUGAAAAACAAUUUAAAUCAUAGGAUGUUGUCAAGGAAACACAGAAAAACAAACAUUGAUCAAAGACUCAAGUGGCCAUUGGAUCAGUUGAACUGCCCCUUUCAGAGAGUCCUUGACUGGUGACUGGAUGACAACCCAGAUUCAGACAUGAUCUAGUUACAACAACACGGAUGUGAUCCAAGAAGAGUCCUUGUCUGGUGACUGGGUGACAACCCAGAUUCAGACAUUAUCUAGUUACAACAACACGGAUGUGAUCCAAGAAGAGUCCUGUAUGGGUCGCGUUGUGUACAGGCCAUUUCCAAAGAAAGAAGAGCAACUUAUUGUGAGAAUGACUAUGAAACAAAAGCAGUAGACCGUUCAAAACAUCAUGGACUGAUGUAGAGUUUAUGUAGAUUGUUCAUUCUUUGUUCCUGUCUGUUGAGAUGUGUUUGAAAUGUAGGAAGGAGGAGUUAGACCCUAUGGUUUUGGGAUCAUAUUUAAAAUGCAGCAGAGACCGUAACUCAGUGUUUCAACUGUAGAUCUACCAACACAACAUUCCACAUAGUGUUAGUUAACAGAGCCUGUCUGUAUGUGUCUGUAUUCUAUUUGCCACCUUCUUAAGAGGCCCAAAGUGUGUAUGGUAAAGGAGGUUGAAACUCUGUGUGUGUGUGUGUGUGUGUGUGUGUGUGUGUGUGUGUGUGUGUGUGUGUGUGUGUGUGUGUGUGUGUGUGUGUGUGUGUGUGUGUGUGUGUGUGUGUGUGUGUGUGUGUGUGUGUGUGUGUGUGUGUGUGUGUGUGUGUGUGUGUGUGUGUGUGUGUGUGUGUGUGUGUGUGUGUGUGAGCAUGUGUGUGAGUGUAGGGUACCAAAAUACCGGUUACUAUCCCAAUAUUUCCAAGUUUUCCGGAAAUCCUGGUUGGAAGAUUCCCGGAAUUGUGAAGGAAUAAGCAGGGAAAUAUGGAAUCCUCCAACCAGGAUUCCUGGAAAACCAGGGAAUGUUGAGAAAGUUACUGGAAUUUGUGUGUGUGCGUGUGUGAGAGAGAUUACGCGAGGAAGAGAGCAGGUGAAUGAGAAAGGUACGUGUUGUGUUUGGGACAGUUAUGCCCUUGUUCACCGUGACACUCCUGCCAACAAAACACUGGUAGAUAGUUUAUAGAUUUUUACUUCUAGAAAAAGUUAUCUUUCUGCCUGGCUUUGUGCUCGGGAGCCAAUGGCAGCACACUAACAAACAAAUGGUUUGUAUUGAAUAUGUAACAACCAACUUAAACGAGCACUAGCCCUACAGAAUGUGGGAACACAUAUGCACAUCUAUUUGUAUAUACAGUAUGUACAAGAAGAUAAUACUGAAUGUUGAAUACAAUGUAUGAAAGUGUUUUAAAAUGCAAUGCUAAUAUUGAUUAGUUUGAUCUGUUUCAACUAAGUAUCUAUCUGUCUCCUGCCAUACAACUGUCCAUCUCCUUUAAGCCAUUCCUAGCUGUCCAUCUAUCUGUCUACCCGGCACACUGCCUAGUAAGCUAGCAAUCUGGCCAUCUAUCUAUUAUUGCAGCUGUCAAUCUAAAUGCCAUGUAAAUAUUGGAUACUUAUUGAUAGGCUCUGAGCCUUACGCUGAUGAUGCUUCAACACAGUGAGUUUGAAACGACCCCAGGACUCUUCCCCAGUGGAAAUGUGAUGAGAUGAGGUGCAUUGCUAUUGACCAGGGCCCGUAGUGCACUGCUGGUGAAAAGUAGUGCACUAUAAGGUAAUUAGGUACCAUUUGGGACACAACCUGGGGUCUGGUACACUAGGUGUAUGGAGAGGUCUGUUUGAUUCAGCUGAGUGUCUGCACUAUGGCAGAUGCACUAUAGUUCCUCACCAUAUGUACAGAAUGUGUACAAUCUUUAGAUGGUGGCCAGUUUGCUUGCGUUUUGAAUUUAGGAAGCAGAGAAAACGCAUCAUAUCCCAUAUUUUUAAAGACUAUCUUUUUAAGUAGACUAUUGAAAUAAACAAUGUAGAUGAAUUGAAAUGAAGGGGAAAUAAAAUAUUAAAGUCAAAAGUA